Molecule: ribosomal RNA, 548 nt
Filed under: uncultured Glomeromycotina
Lineage: Eukaryota; Fungi; Glomeromycota
Description: SSU rRNA
Rfam family: Eukaryotic small subunit ribosomal RNA
Source: RNAcentral
UUGGAGGGCAAGUCUGGUGCCAGCAGCCGCGGUAAUUCCAGCUCCAAUAGCGUAUAUUAAAGUUGUUGCAGUUAAAAAGCUCGUAGUUGAAUUUCGGGAUCAAUUUAUUGGUCGUGCCAACGGUACGCACUGGUACAAUUGGUUUCUCCCUUCUGACGAAGCAUGAUGUCAUUAAUUUGAUGUCGUGGGGAAUCAGGACUGUUACUUUGAAAAAAUUAGAGUGUUUAAAGCAGGCUUUGGCUUGAAUACAUUAGCAUGGAAUAAUGAAAUAGGACGUUUGAUCUUAUUUCGUUGGUUCCUAAGAUCGACGUAAUGAUUAAUAGGGAUAGUUGGGGGCAUUAGUAUUCAAUUGUCAGAGGUGAAAUUCUUGGAUUUAUUGAAGACUAACUACUGCGAAAGCAUUUGCCAAGGAUGUUUUCAUUAAUCAAGAACGAAAGUUAGGGGAUCGAAGACGAUCAGAUACCGUCGUAGUCUUAACCAUAAACUAUGCCGACUAGGGAUCGGAUGAUGUUAAUUUUUCUUGACUCGUUCGGCGCCUUACGGGAAAC